CGGAUGAUGCCAGCCCAGCCAUGAUCUGUUGACAACAUGAGAGACUUGAAGUGAGAUCAGAAGAAGCACUGCCCUGCGGAGCCCAGCCGGCCCACAGCCCCGUGAGAGAUAACAGGAGGGCAGCUUGGGGUGGCUCCUUAUGCGGCAACAGGUAGCUCUUCAGCCCCGGAGCUGGGCGGGCCUGGAGCUGAGGGACCCACCCCCUUCCAGUGCCGGAGGCCUGGGAUUGGCAAGCCCCUUCCUCUUCUCAGUAACAGACAACCCACCUGGUCCGGCCCCCGCUGUUCUCCAAAGACAGGUCUGUUGGAACACUUCCUGCAGGCUGGAAUUGAAGGAAUGAAGAAGGAGGGGCAUUCUAUCCCUGUCUCAUAAAAAAGC
Molecule: long non-coding RNA, 378 nt
Filed under: Bos indicus x Bos taurus (hybrid cattle)
Lineage: Eukaryota; Metazoa; Chordata; Mammalia; Artiodactyla; Bovidae
Description: lncRNA (ENSBIXG00000014586.1)
Source: RNAcentral